ACGUAGGGGGCAAGCGUUGUUCGGAAUUACUGGGCGUAAAGGGCAUGUAGGCGGCUUUGUAAGCCUGGCGUGAAAGUCCACAGCUUAACUGUGGGACUGCGUUGGGAACUGUGAGGCUUGAGUCACGGAGAGGGAGCUAGAAUUCCUGGUGUAGGGGUGAAAUCUGUAGAGAUCAGGAAGAAUACCAAUGGCGAAGGCAAGCUCCUGGCCGAUGACUGACGCUGAGGUGCGAAAGUGUGGGGAUCAAACAGGAUUAGAUACCCUGGUAGUCCACACUGUAAACGAUGCACACUAGGUGCUGGGGCGGAUGCCUCAGUGCCGGAGCUAACGCGGUAAGUGUGCCGCCUGGGGAGUAUGCUCGCAAGGGUG
This 369-nucleotide ribosomal RNA is filed under the name uncultured bacterium. Its description in RNAcentral is "bacterial SSU rRNA". It matches the Rfam family "Bacterial small subunit ribosomal RNA", at positions 525 to 896 of the family's 1533-position model. The record is from RNAcentral.